AUUGAACGCUGGCGGCAUGCCUUACACAUGCAAGUCGAACGGUAACGGGCCUUCGGGUGCCGACGAGUGGCGAACGGGUGGGUAAUACAUCGGAACGUGCCCGAUCGUGGGGGAUAACGAGGCGAAAGCUUUGCUAAUACCGCAUACGAUCUACGGAUGAAAGCAGGGGACCGCAAGGCCUUGCGCGGACGGAGCGGCCGAUGGCAGAUUAGGUAGUUGGUGGGAUAAAAGCUUACCAAGCCGACGAUCUGUAGCUGGUCUGAGAGGAUGAUCAGCCACACUGGGACUGAGACACGGCCCAGACUCCUACGGGAGGCAGCAGUGGGGAAUUUUGGACAAUGGGCGCAAGCCUGAUCCAGCCAUGCCGCGUGCAGGAUGAAGGCCUUCGGAUUGUAAACUGCUUUUGUACGGAACGAAAAGCCUUCUUUUAAUACAGGAGGGUCAUGACGGUACCGUAAGAAUAAGCACCGGCUAACUACGUG
RNAcentral lists this ribosomal RNA (482 nucleotides) under uncultured bacterium. Its description in RNAcentral is "partial 16S ribosomal RNA". It matches the Rfam family "Bacterial small subunit ribosomal RNA", at positions 30 to 507 of the family's 1533-position model. The record is from RNAcentral.